RNAcentral lists this signal recognition particle RNA (263 nucleotides) under Pan troglodytes (chimpanzee). It matches the Rfam family "Metazoan signal recognition particle RNA". Rfam says of the family: The signal recognition particle (SRP) is a universally conserved ribonucleoprotein. The record is from RNAcentral. Lineage: Eukaryota; Metazoa; Chordata; Mammalia; Primates; Hominidae.
GCCGGGCGUGGUGGCGGGCGCCUGUAGUCCCAGCUACUGGGGUGGCUGAGGCAGGAGAAUGGCGUGAACCCGGGAGGCGGAGCUUGCAGUGAGCCGAGAUCGCGCCACUGCGCUCCAGCCUGGGCGACAGAGCGAGACUCCGUCUCAAAAAAAAAAAUUUUGAGAUGGAGUUUUGCUCUUGUUGCCCAGGCUGGAGUGCAAUGGUAUGAUCUCGGGCUCACUGCAAACUCUGCCUCCUGGGUUCAAGCGAUUCUCCUGCCUCA